UUGAAACAAGGAGGUAGUGACAAUAAAUAACAAUGCCGGGCCUUUGUAGGUCUGGCAAUUGGAAUGAGAACAAUUUAAAUCCCUUAUCGAGGAUCAAUUGGAGGGCAAGUCUGGUGCCAGCAGCCGCGGUAAUUCCAGCUCCAAUAGCGUAUAUUAAAGUUGUUGCAGUUAAAAAGCUCGUAGUUGGACUUGUGCGCGUCCCUGAUGUCCUUUUUGGUACGUUUGGGGAUGUGCAUCCUUGGGUGGAACCUGUGUGGCAUUAGGUUGUUGUGCAGGGGAUGCUCAUCGUUUACUGUGAAAAAAUUAGAGUGUUCAAAGCAGGCUUACGCCGUUGAAUAUAUUAGCAUGGAAUAAUAAGAUAGGACCUUGGUACUAUUUUGUUGGUUUGCGCACCGAGGUAAUGAUUAACAGGGACGGUUGGGGGUAUUCGUAUUCCAUUGUCAGAGGUGAAAUUCUUGGAUUUUUGGAAGACGAACUACUGCGAAAGCAUUUACCAAGGAUGUUUUCAUUAAUCA
This 515-nucleotide ribosomal RNA is filed under the name uncultured diatom. Its description in RNAcentral is "SSU rRNA". It matches the Rfam family "Eukaryotic small subunit ribosomal RNA", at positions 451 to 979 of the family's 1831-position model. Lineage: Eukaryota; Bacillariophyta. The record is from RNAcentral.